Molecule: ribosomal RNA, 248 nt
Filed under: Azomonas macrocytogenes
Lineage: Bacteria; Pseudomonadati; Pseudomonadota; Gammaproteobacteria; Pseudomonadales; Pseudomonadaceae
Description: partial 16S ribosomal RNA
Rfam family: Bacterial small subunit ribosomal RNA
Source: RNAcentral
CCUCCCCCUCCCCCUGACAGCCCCSCCCGUGGUUUUAGGUCUCCGGAUUGUAAGCACUUUGUUUGGGAGGAAGGGUUGAGAUAAUACUCUGCAUUUUGACGUUWCCUACCAAUAAGCCCCGGCUAACUUUGUGCCUGCAGCCUCGGUAUACAGAGGGUGCGAGCGUUAAUCGGAAUUUCUGGGUGAAAAGGGCGCGUAGGUGGUUCGUUAAAUUGGAUGUGAAAUCCCCGGGCUCUCCCUGGGAACUG